Molecule: ribosomal RNA, 211 nt
Filed under: uncultured bacterium
Lineage: Bacteria
Description: partial 16S ribosomal RNA
Rfam family: Bacterial small subunit ribosomal RNA
Source: RNAcentral
GCCUCUUAGCGGGGGAUAACUAUUGGAAACGAUAGCUAAUACCGCAUAAAAGUCGAUAUCGCAUGAUAUUGAUUUGAAAGGUGCAAUUGCAUCACUAAGAGAUGGACCUGCGUUGUAUUAGCUAGUUGGUGAGGUAACGGCUCACCAAGGCGACGAUACAUAGCCGACCUGAGAGGGUGAUCGGCCACACUGGGACUGAGACACGGCCCAG